UCGAUUUACCUUCGGGUAUUGAGGAUGGCGGACGGGUGAGUAACGCGUAAGGAACUUGCCUCUUGGUCUGGGACAACUGUUGGAAACGACAGCUAAUACCGGAUAUUAUGAGAUUCUCGCAUGGGAAACUUAUGAAAGCUAUAUGCGCCAAGAGAGAGCCUUGCGUUCCAUUAGCUAGUUGGUGGGGUAACGGCCCACCAAGGCGACGAUGGAUAGCCGGCCUGAGAGGGUGAACGGCCACAAGGGGACUGAGACACGGCCCUUACUCCUACGGGAGGCAGCAGUGGGGAAUAUUGGACAAUGGGCCACAAGCCUGAUCCAGCAAUUCUGUGUGCACGAUGAAGGUCUUCGGAUUGUAAAGUGCUUUCAGUUGGGAAGAAGAAAGUGACGGUACCAACAGAAGAAGCGACGGCUAAAUACGUGCCAGCAGCCGCGGUAAUACGUAUGUCGCAAGCGUUAUCCGGAUUUAUUGGGCGUAAAGCGCGUCUAGGCGGAAAAAUAAGUCUGAUGUUAAAAUGCGGGGCUCAACUCCGUAUUGCGUUGGAAACUGUUUUUCUAGAGUACUGGAGAGGUGGGCGGAACUACAAGUGUAGAGGUGAAAUUCGUAGAUAUUUGUAGGA
Molecule: ribosomal RNA, 620 nt
Filed under: uncultured bacterium
Lineage: Bacteria
Description: bacterial SSU rRNA
Rfam family: Bacterial small subunit ribosomal RNA
Source: RNAcentral